Podarcis lilfordi (Lilford's wall lizard) is the source of this 74-nucleotide non-coding RNA. The record is from the annotation of a GenBank genome assembly. NCBI's taxonomy places the organism in Eukaryota, Metazoa, Chordata, Lepidosauria, Squamata, Lacertidae.
CUUCAGAUAGCUCAAUUGGUAGAUCAUGUGACUCUUAAUCUCAGCGUUGUGGAUUUGAGCCCCACGUUGGAUGA